Molecule: unclassified non-coding RNA, 6061 nt
Filed under: Haliotis rufescens (red abalone)
Lineage: Eukaryota; Metazoa; Mollusca; Gastropoda; Lepetellida; Haliotidae
Description: caspase-3-like, transcript variant X2
Source: RNAcentral
AUGACUUGCAUCUACUGGCGGACACCCACUGUCACCACUUGCAUCUACUUGCGGACACCUGCUGUCAUCACUUGCAUCUACUGGCGGACACCCACUGUCAUCACUUGCAUCUACUGGCGGACACCUGCUGUCAUCACUAGUAUCUAUUUGCGGACACCUGCUGUCACCACUUGUAUCUAUUUGCGGACACCUGCUGUCACCACUUGUAUGAACUGGCCGACACCCACUGUCACCACUUGCAUCUACUGGCGGAAACCUGCUGUCACCACUUGCAUCUACUGGCGGACACCCACUGUCAUCACUUUCACCUACUGGCGGACACCUGCUGUCACCACUUGUAUCAACUGGCGGACACCCACUGUCAUCACUUGCACCUACUGGCGGACACCUGCUGUCACCACUUGGAUCUACUGGCGGUCACCUGCUGUCAUGACUUGUAUCUACUGGCCGACACCUGCUGUCACCACUUGCAUCUACUGGCGGACACCUGCUGUCAUCACUUGCAUCUACUGGGGGAUACCUGCUGUCAUCACUUGCAACUACUGGCGGACACCUGCUGUCAUCACUUGCACCUACUCGCGGACACUCACUGUCACCACUUGCAUCUACUGGCGGAAACCCACUGUCAUCACUUGCAUCUACUGGCGGACACCCACUGUCACCACUUGCAUCUACUGGCGGACACCCACUGUCACCACUUGCAUCUACUGGCGGGCACCAGCUGUCACCACUUGCAUCUACUGGCGGACACCCGCUGUCAUCACUUGCAUCUACUGGCGGACACCCGCUGUCAUCACUUGCAUCUACUGGCGGACACCCGCUGUCACCACUUGCAUCUACUGGCGGACACUCACUGUCACCACUUGCAUCAACUGGCGGACACCUGCUGUCAUCACUUGCAUCUACUGGCGGAAACCCACUGUCGUCACUUGCAUCUACUGGCGGACACCCACUGUCACCACUUGCGCCUACUGGCGGACACCUGCUGUCAUCACUUGCAUCUACUGGCGGACAUCUGCUGUCACCACUUGCAUCUACUGGCGGACACCUGCUGUCAUCACUUGCAUCUACUGGGGGAUACCCCCUGUCAUCACUUGCAUCUACUGGCGAACACUCUGUCACCACUUGCAUCUACUGGGGGAUACCUGCUGUCAUCACUUGCAUCUACUGGCGGACACCCACUGUCAUCACUUUCACGUACUGGCGGACACCUGCUGUCACCACUUGUAUCAACUGGCGGACACCCACUGUCAUCACUUGCACCUACUGGCGGACAUCUGCUGUCACCACUUGCAUCUACUGGCGGACACCUGCUGUCAUCACUUGCAUCUACUGGGGGAUACCUGCUGUCAUCACUUGCAACUACUGGCGGACACCUGCUGUCAUCACUUGCACCUACUCGCGGACACUCACUGUCAUGACUUGCAUCUACUGGCGGAAACCCACUGUCAUCACUUGCAUCUACUGGCGGACACCCACUGACAUCACUUGCACCUACUGGCGGACACCUGCUGUCACCACUUGCAUCUACUGGCGGAAACCCACUGUCAUCACUUGCAUCUACUGGCGGAGACCAACUGUCAUCACUAGUAUCUACUGGGGGACACCCGCUGUCACCACUUGCAUCUACUGGCAGACACCAACUGUUAUCACUUGCGGACACCCACUGUCAUCACUUGCAUCUACUGGCAGACACCUGCUGUCAUCACUUGCAUCUACUGAGGGAUACCUGCUGUCAUCACUUGCAUCUACUGGCGGACACUCACUGUCAUGACUUGCAUCUACAGGCGGACACCCACUGUCACCACUUGCAUCUACUUGCGGACACCUGCUGUCAUCACUUGCAUCUACUGGCGGACACCCCCUGUUUUCACUUGCACCUACUGGCGGAGACCAACUGUCAUCACUAGUAUCUACUGGGGGACACCCGCUGUCACCACUUGCAUCUACUGGCAGACACCAACUGUUAUCACUUGCGGACACCCACUGUCAUCACUUGCAUCUACUGGCAGACACCUGCUGUCAUCACUUGCAUCUACUGAGGGAUACCUGCUGUCAUCACUUGCAUCUACUGGCGGACACUCACUGUCAUGACUUGCAUCUACUGGCGGACACCCACUGUCACCACUUGCAUCUACUUGCGGACACCUGCUGUCAUCACUUGCAUCUACUGGCGGACACCCACUGUCAUCACUUGCAUCUACUGGCGGACACCUGCUGUCAUCACUAGUAUCUAUUUGCGGACACCUGCUGUCACCACUUGUAUCUAUUUGCGGACACCUGCUGUCACCACUUGUAUGAACUGGCCGACACCCACUGUCACCACUUGCAUCUACUGGCGGAAACCUGCUGUCACCACUUGCAUCUACUGGCGGACACCCACUGUCAUCACUUUCACCUACUGGCGGACACCUGCUGUCACCACUUGUAUCAACUGGCGGACACUCACUGUCAUCACUUGCACCUACUGGCGGACACCUGCUGUCACCACUUGGAUCUACUGGCGGUCACCUGCUGUCAUGACUUGUAUCUACUGGCCGACACCUGCUGUCACCACUUGCAUCUACUGGCGGACACCUGCUGUCAUCACUUGCAUCUACUGGGGGAUACCUGCUGUCAUCACUUGCAACUACUGGCGGACACCUGCUGUCAUCACUUGCACCUACUCGCGGACACUCACUGUCACCACUUGCAUCUACUGGCGGAAACCCACUGUCAUCACUUGCAUCUACUGGCGGACACCCACUGUCACCACUUGCAUCUACUGGCGGACACCCACUGUCACCACUUGCAUCUACUGGCGGGCACCAGCUGUCACCACUUGCAUCUACUGGCGGACACCCGCUGUCAUCACUUGCAUCUACUGGCGGACACCCGCUGUCAUCACUUGCAUCUACUGGCGGACACCCGCUGUCACCACUUGCAUCUACUGGCGGACACUCACUGUCACCACUUGCAUCAACUGGCGGACACCUGCUGUCAUCACUUGCAUCUACUGGCGGAAACCCACUGUCGUCACUUGCAUCUACUGGCGGACACCUACUGUCACCACUUGCGCCUACUGGCGGACACCUGCUGUCAUCACUUGCAUCUACUGGCGGACAUCUGCUGUCACCACUUGCAUCUACUGGCGGACACCUGCUGUCAUCACUUGCAUCUACUGGGGGAUACCCCCUGUCAUCACUUGCAUCUACUGGCGAACACUCUGUCACCACUUGCAUCUACUGGGGGAUACCUGCUGUCAUCACUUGCAACUACUGGCGGACACCCACUGUGACCACUUGCAUCUACUGGCGGACACCUGCUGUCAUCACUAGCAUCUACUGGCGGACACCUGCUGUCACCACUUGCAUCUACUGGCGGACAUCCACUGUCACCACUUGCGCCUACUGGCGGACACCCACUGUCACCACUUGCAUCUACUGGCGGACACCUGCUGUCAUCACUUGCAUCUACUGGGGGAUACCUGCUGUCAUCACUUGCAACUACUGGCGGAUACCCACUGUCACCACUUGCAUCAACUGGCGCACACCUGCUGUCACCACCUGCAUCUACUCGCGGACACCCGCUGUCAUCACUUGCAUCUACUGGCGGACACCUGCUGUUACCACUUGUAUCUACUGGCGGACACUCACUGUCAUCACUUGCAUCUACUGGUGGACACCCACUGUCAUGACUUGCUUACACUAACUGUGAUCACUUGUGUGUACUGGCGGACACCCUCUGUCAUCACUUAUAGACACCAACUGUCAUCACUUAUAGACACCCACUGUCAUCACUGGCGAACACCCACUGUCAUCACUGGCGGACACCCACUGUAUUCACUGGCGGACACCCACUGUCAUCACUGGCGGACACCCACUGUAUUCACUGGCGGACACCCACUGUCAUCACUGGCGGACACCCACUGUAUUCACUGGCGGACACCCACUGUCAUCACUGGCGGACACCCACUGUCAUCACUGGCGGACACCCACUGCGAUCACUGUACCGGCUUUUCCAUCAGUCAUACCUGUGACCUCAACAGAUGUGGUUGUGGUUGCUCUUGGCAUUGGUUUGGUUUUGUCUUCAAAUAACGAAAUGUUAUUUUAUUAUAUUUUGAAAAGAGAAAUUGUCAUCAAAUCAAUGAAGUUAAGUGAAAUGUUCCGAUGUUACGACUGACUGCCUUACUCGUAAGCGAAGCUAGAAAUAGUUUGUCCAACCUUCCAGACGCUCUUUCAAAUCCUACCCCAACUCCCCAUCCCACUCCAUCCCCUCUCACACACUGUCACACAUGCCUUUGACAAGAUCUAUCAUGGUCUAAACUCUUUUGAGCAGUUGUUGAUUGGAAAAUGUAAUCUUACUUAAUUAAUUAUCAUGAAAUGUAAUUAUUCAGAUGCAUGUAUUGCUGACCUUCCCCUGGACGCUGUUGUCUUCUCCGGAUGUCCACUCCGGUGGCCUCGACAGUGUUCGCCGACCCCCUUGUCAUUCCCGUUGUCUUCAUGUUCCCUAUUUGCUUCAUCGUCUUCAAUGCAUCACCCACGUUAUCUGCAGCAGAAACCCUCGUAUACAUUCCUCACUGAGUGAAUGGGGACCAGGGUUCUCUCUGCAGUCGGUUAUGACCCACAGCUACGUAACAGCUACAUCACAGCUACAUCACAGCUAUAUCCAAACUCAAGCACAGCUACAUCGCAGCCAUACCACAGCUGUAUAUAUCAGCCAUAUCACAGCUACAUCACAGCUAUUUCCCAGCUACAUCACAGCUAUAUAUAUAUAUAUAUAUCAGCUAUAUCACAGCUACAUAGCUACAUCACAGCUCCAGCACGUUUAUAUCACAGCUACAUCACAGCUCCAUCACGUUUAUAUCACAGCUACAUCACGUUUAUAUCACAGCUCCAUCACGUUUAUAUCACAGCUACAUAUCAGCUACAUCACGUUUAUAUCACAGCUACAUCACAGCUACAUCACGUUUAUAUCACAGCUACAUCACAGCUCCAUCACGUUUAUAUCACAGCUACAUAUCAGCUACAUCACGUUUAUAUCACAGCUACAUCACGUUUAUAUCACAGCUACAUAUCACCUACAUUACAUCUACAUCAGGUUUAUAUCACAGCUUCAUAUCAACUACAUCACAUCUACAUCACGUUUAUAUCACAGCUACAUAUCAGCUACAUCACGUUUAUAUCACAGCUACAUAUCAGCUACAUCACGUUUAUAUCACAGCCAUACCACAGCUACAUCACGUUUAUAUCACAACUACAUCACAUUUAUAUCACAGCCAUACCAUAGCUACAUCACAGCUAUACAUAUCAGCUACAUCACAGCUACAUCACACCCAUCACGUUUAUGUCACAGCUACAUCACAUUUAUAUCACAAUUACAUCACGUUUAUAUCACAGCUUUAUCAGAUAUAUCACAUAUAUCACGGCGACCUGCUCGAUCUGGGGCAGGUUAAUCAAUAGUUGACAGAUGACCUGUUCAACAAGAUGCCCAAAGACUAGCAUGAGACUUCAUGAUGACACUCAGCUGUGAAGCAAUCAGAUUCUUUAACCUAAUAUGACAUCAGUGUGGGCACAAGUCAAAUCAUGUUUGCGGCAAUAGACCGAUCCAGUCUGUCAAUCAAAAGUCAAAAUCGUCAGUUUGAGCCAAUCAGAAGGCCGGGCGCGCUUUGUGGAUUUGUCAGACUUACUUCCGGGGUCAAACCAUACCCGCGAAGCGAAAUGGCUACGGUUUGUGCUAUUUUCACUCGCGAUAUUCAUUACGUAUCGCUUGGAUAAGAUGUAUGCCUUUACCACAGGGUCGGGAGAAAAAUGUUUGAGGCUGAUCAAGAUGUGCGGUUGGCCUCACACCAUCAGUUAAAUGUCGCCACCAUCUUCCACGGGACCCACGUCUGCUCGAAGCAUUUCUAUGAAGAGACAGGGCCCAUGCAGUAAUGAAUUACCUGAUGCUAUUCUUGUGAAAUGGAAUCAUACCUUCAAGAUCGUCUCCAGACAGUCAAAGGACUUUCAAAGAACCUACGGGCCAUUAUCAAGAACAUCUUUAAUCACCUGAAAAUCGCAAUAAUCCCGAUUCUGUCAGGCUA